RNAcentral lists this ribosomal RNA (104 nucleotides) under uncultured bacterium. RNAcentral describes it as "partial 16S ribosomal RNA". It matches the Rfam family "Bacterial small subunit ribosomal RNA", at positions 1396 to 1500 of the family's 1533-position model. The record is from RNAcentral.
GUCACACCAUGAGAGUUGGGAAUACCCGAAGCCUGUGAGCUAACUUUUAGAGGCAGCAGUCGAAGGUAGAAUCAAUGAUUGGGGUGAAGUCGUAACAAGGUAUC